This 454-nucleotide ribosomal RNA is filed under the name Holbrookia maculata (lesser earless lizard). RNAcentral describes it as "partial 16S ribosomal RNA". It matches the Rfam family "Bacterial large subunit ribosomal RNA", at positions 1923 to 2571 of the family's 2925-position model. The record is from RNAcentral. Lineage: Eukaryota; Metazoa; Chordata; Lepidosauria; Squamata; Phrynosomatidae.
UUAAACGGCCGCGGUAUCCUAACCGUGCAAAGGUAGCGUAACACUUGUCUCCUAAAUAGAGACCUGUAUGAACGGCUAAAUGAGGACUAANCUGUCUCCUUNAANNAAUCAGUGAAACUGAUCUACCAGUACAAAAGCUGGUAUUUUACCAUUAGACGAGAAGACCCUGUGGAGCUUUAAAUCUAAGACCAACACCAAAACCAUAAACAACAAGCCAUGGCCCAAGAUUUUAAGUUGGGGCGACUUCGGAACAAAACAAAACUUCCGAGCACAAGGAAGCCAACCUUAUUAAGACCAACAAGUCAAAACAAAAAUUGACCCAGUAUUACUGAUCACCGAACCAAGUUACCCCAGGGAUAACAGCGCAAUCUUCUUCAAGAGUUCCCAUCGACAAGAAGGUUUACGACCUCGAUGUUGGAUCAGGACACCCAAAUGGUGCAGCCGCUAUUAAAGG